GAUGAACGCUGGCGGCGUGCCUAAUACAUGCAAGUAGAACGCUGAAGGAAGGAGCUUGCUCUUUCCGGAUGAGUUGCGAACGGGUGAGUAACGCGUAGGUAACCUGCCUGGUAGCGGGGGAUAACUAUUGGAAACGAUAGCUAAUACCGCAUAACAGUAGAUGUUGCAUGACAACUAUUUGAAAGGGGCAAUUGCUCCACUACCAGAUGGACCUGCGUUGUAUUAGCUAGUUGGUGAGGUAACGGCUCACCAAGGCGACGAUACAUAGCCGACCUGAGAGGGUGAUCGGCCAAACUGGGACUGAGACACGGCCCAGACUCCUACGGGAGGCAGCAGUAGGGAAUCUUCGGCAAUGGACGGAAGUCUGACCGAGCAACGCCGCGUGAGUGAAGAAGGUUUUCGGAUCGUAAAGCUCUGUUGUAAGAGAAGAACGAGUGUGAGAGUGGAAAGUUCACACUGUGACGGUAUCUUACCAGAAAGGGACGGCUAACUACGUG
Molecule: ribosomal RNA, 497 nt
Filed under: uncultured bacterium
Lineage: Bacteria
Description: partial 16S ribosomal RNA
Rfam family: Bacterial small subunit ribosomal RNA
Source: RNAcentral